GACGAACGCUGGCGGCGUGCCUAAUACAUGCAAGUAGAACGCACAGUUUAUACCGUAGCUUGCUACACCAUAGACUGUGAGUUGCGAACGGGUGAGUAACGCGUAGGUAACCUGCCUGGUAGCGGGGGAUAACUAUUGGAAACGAUAGCUAAUACCGCAUAAUAUUAAUUAUUGCAUGAUAAUUAAUUGAAAGGUGCAAUUGCACCACUACCAGAUGGACCUGCGUUGUAUUAGCUAGUAGGUGAGGUAACGGCUCACCUAGGCGACGAUACAUAGCCGACCUGAGAGGGUGAUCGGCCACACUGGGACUGAGACACGGCCCAGACUCCUACGGGAGGCAGCAGUAGGGAAUCUUCGGCAAAGGACGAAAGUCUGACCGAGCAACGCCGCGUGAGUGAAGAAGGUUUUCGGAUCGUAAAGCUCUGUUGUAAGAGAAGAACGGGUGUGAGAGUGGAAAGUUCACACUGUGACGGUAUCUUACCAGAAAGGGACGGCUAACUACGU
Molecule: ribosomal RNA, 504 nt
Filed under: uncultured bacterium
Lineage: Bacteria
Description: partial 16S ribosomal RNA
Rfam family: Bacterial small subunit ribosomal RNA
Source: RNAcentral